RNAcentral lists this ribosomal RNA (130 nucleotides) under Neogale vison (American mink). The record is from RNAcentral. Lineage: Eukaryota; Metazoa; Chordata; Mammalia; Carnivora; Mustelidae.
CCAUACCACCCUGAAAGCGCCCGAUCUUGUCUGAUCUCAGAAGCUAAGCAGGGUCGGGCCUGGUUAGUACUUGGAUGGGAGGAAUGAACUUACAAAACUUCUUAAUUUAUAUGAAGGAGUAAUUUAGGAG